This 468-nucleotide ribosomal RNA is filed under the name uncultured bacterium. RNAcentral describes it as "partial 16S ribosomal RNA". It matches the Rfam family "Bacterial small subunit ribosomal RNA", at positions 28 to 507 of the family's 1533-position model. The record is from RNAcentral.
GACGAACGCUGGCGGCGUGCUUAACACAUGCAAGUCGAACGGAAAGGCCCUGCUUUUGUGGGGUGCUCGAGUGGCGAACGGGUGAGUAACACGUGAGUAACCUGCCCUUGACUUUGGGAUAACUUCAGGAAACUGGGGCUAAUACCGGAUAGGAGCUCCUGCUGCAUGGUGGGGGUUGGAAAGUUUCGGCGGUUGGGGAUGGACUCGCGGCUUAUCAGCUUGUUGGUGGGGUAGUGGCUUACCAAGGCUUUGACGGGUAGCCGGCCUGAGAGGGUGACCGGCCACAUGGGGACUGAGAUACGGCCCAGACUCCUACGGGAGGCAGCAGUGGGGAGUAUUGCACAAUGGGCGGAAGCCUGAGGCAGCAACGCCGCGUGCGGGAUGACGGCCUUCGGGUUGUAAACCGCUUUCGCCUGUGACGAAGCGGGAGUGACGGUAAUGGGUAAAGAAGCACCGGCUAACUACGUG